CACAGAUCUGUGUAUUGAAACUCCGAUGCUUGACUGAUUAAACAAAUGUAUUUGACUUUAUCUUAUCGUCUUAUUUGGCUCUUGCUUAGGAUCAAUGUAAUACCAAUUUAACGAAUGUGCAGGGAUAUAUAGUUAAAUAUCUAUCUAUCUAU
Long non-coding RNA from Sander lucioperca (pikeperch), 152 nucleotides. RefSeq lists it as uncharacterized. NCBI's taxonomy places the organism in Eukaryota, Metazoa, Chordata, Actinopteri, Perciformes, Percidae. The record is from RefSeq and is a predicted model, not a curated record. The transcript has 3 exons.